This 450-nucleotide ribosomal RNA is filed under the name Phenoliferia psychrophenolica. Its description in RNAcentral is "eukaryotic LSU rRNA". It matches the Rfam family "Eukaryotic large subunit ribosomal RNA", at positions 99 to 561 of the family's 3401-position model. The record is from RNAcentral. Lineage: Eukaryota; Fungi; Basidiomycota; Microbotryomycetes; Kriegeriales; Kriegeriaceae.
CGGGAAGAGCUCAAAUUUGUAAUCUGGCACCUUUGGUGUCCGAGUUGUAAUCUCGAGAAGUGUUUUCCGCGCCGGACCGCAUACAAGUCUGUUGGAAUACAGCGUCAUAGUGGUGAGAGCCCCGUAACUGAUGCGGAUGCCCGGUGCUUUGUGAUACACUUUCGAAGAGUCGAGUUGUUUGGGAAUGCAGCUCAAAUUGGGUGGUAAAUUCCAUCUAAAGCUAAAUAUUGGCGAGAGACCGAUAGCGAACAAGUACCGUGAGGGAAAGAUGAAAAGCACUUUGGAAAGAGAGUUAACAGUACGUGAAAUUGUUGGAAGGGAAACGCUUGAAGUCAGACUUGCUAUUUGGAAUUCAGCCGCAAGGUGUACUUUUCAAUUUGCAGGCCAGCAUCAGUUUUCGGGGGUGGAAAAGGGUUAGAGGAAGGUAGCAAUCUCGGUUGUGUUAUAGCC